UGGCGAAUGGCCGCGAACAUCUCCGCUUCAGUGUCUUUCCAUUCUAGCNAGGCCGNCUUCAGCGCGUCCCUCUCCUUCCGAACGGCAUCCGCUUCAGUCAGGGCCUUCUUGGCCGAUUCCAAUUCCUUCGCCAGAUUAUCCCGCUCGGUCCUAGUCCGCAUACUCAGUUCUCUCAGCUGCUCAUGGAUCGCAUGACUUUCG
Molecule: long non-coding RNA, 201 nt
Filed under: Vigna radiata
Lineage: Eukaryota; Viridiplantae; Streptophyta; Magnoliopsida; Fabales; Fabaceae
Description: long non-coding RNA (VRAD_LNC015143)
Source: RNAcentral